RNAcentral lists this non-coding RNA (31 nucleotides) under Rattus norvegicus (Norway rat). The record is from RNAcentral. Lineage: Eukaryota; Metazoa; Chordata; Mammalia; Rodentia; Muridae.
UUGAACAGGCUGUUAUAAGUACUGAUAUGGU